AGUUGUAUCUUCAGUGGUUUGAUGAAGCUAAAUCUGGGAGAUCACUCAUUCUAGGUAUGGAUCUCCUUACCCUUGGCCUCUGCAUCAUAUUUUGGCCUAUCAGAAAUGGUGAAAAGUCAAAUGUAAGAUGAAAGCUAUCAGAUGGCGUAAGAAAACUCUGGACCAGGUCUUAGAAGAUAUAGACCAGUGCUGUCAAGCUCUCUCUAAAAGUCUGGUAACACAACCAUAUUUUUUUAAUAAGCAGCUUCCUGAAUUUGAUACACUGGUAUUUGGCCAUUUGUACACCAUUCUUACCACACGAUUGAUGAAUGAUAAACUUUCUGAGGUGAAAAACUACAGCAACCUUCUUGCUCUCUGCAGAAGAAUUGAAAGGCACUAUUUUGACGAUUGUGAUAAAGGCAGAUUGCCU
This 409-nucleotide long non-coding RNA is filed under the name Homo sapiens (human). Its description in RNAcentral is "non-protein coding lnc-SSU72P8-8:1". Lineage: Eukaryota; Metazoa; Chordata; Mammalia; Primates; Hominidae. The record is from RNAcentral.